This 192-nucleotide unclassified non-coding RNA is filed under the name uncultured Inocybaceae. Its description in RNAcentral is "sequence contains ITS2". The record is from RNAcentral. Lineage: Eukaryota; Fungi; Basidiomycota; Agaricomycetes; Agaricales.
AGUUCUCAACCCGCAUCCAUUUGAAAAAAGGGUGUGGGAUUUGGAUUAUGGAGUUUGCAGGCUUUCGAAUUGAGGUCUGCUUCUCUGAAAUGUAUUAGUGGCAAUGUGGAAAAGCUACUGUGGGUGUGAUAACUAUCUAUGCCUAUCCAGUGCUCUGCUGUGCCGCUUGCAGGGAAUUUUUGAUUUUGACAG